AGCUUAAGCAGAGUUCUCUUUUCCCAGCUCAGCAGCUGAAGAGCUAAAGCAAUAACAGGUACCUAUAUUUAAUUCUACCAACAAGCAAAACAAUAGCCUGGAGAAGGAUGUUUUUGAUUAGGAAAAUGGAUGGUGCGAAAUGGAUGGCCCUUAAGCACAAAAAAUUCUUCUAAUGGCUGGUUCCAUCCAGAAUUCUGGGAUUAUGGACAGUCUACAUACAAUGGCUUUGAGUCAUAAGGUGAUACUCAAAUCAGAAGAUGAAAUCCACUGAAUUUCAAAAGGACCAGAAGGUACAUUAUCAGAGCUGGGUUUAUCUGGCUUCCAGAAGGGGGCAAUGAUGCCUGAGUAGAUUAAAAGUUAAAAGGAACUUCCUCUUCCACCAUAAACCUAUUGUUUCCUGAGACAAAUCUAGAUUUUAAAGUAAGGAUGUUCUUUGGGAGAUUACCUAUGCUUCUGCAGUUUUUCCAAAUAGCAAAUCAAUC
Molecule: long non-coding RNA, 482 nt
Organism: Hemicordylus capensis (graceful crag lizard)
Lineage: Eukaryota; Metazoa; Chordata; Lepidosauria; Squamata; Cordylidae
Exons: 3
Source: RefSeq, a predicted model, not a curated record